This is a long non-coding RNA of Ziziphus jujuba (common jujube), 735 nucleotides long. RefSeq lists it as uncharacterized. The transcript has 2 exons. The record is from RefSeq and is a predicted model, not a curated record. NCBI's taxonomy places the organism in Eukaryota, Viridiplantae, Streptophyta, Magnoliopsida, Rosales, Rhamnaceae.
AAGCGUGGAACUGAAAGCCUAUCUAGGAAUUUGCAGGUGAUGUAUGUUUUGUCGCUGGACAAGUCAAAUCUGGCUGUUUCAAAAUAUCAGGCUGAGUGCAUGGAUGCUAAAGGAUUAGUAGAAACCAUCAAACUUCAACGGGUUGUCAACGUCUCUCUUGAGUACCCUUUCAAGGAUCUUGGGAUUGCUGAAAACUUUAUAUUACAAGGCUUGAGCAAUAAUUCUUACCUUUGUUUUUUGUAUUUGGUUUUUCCCUUUUCUAGUUGUUUUGUUUUUUUAAUCACAAAUUUUCUUUUCUUAUUAGAAGUUAGAACAGCUUAUAUAUCAUAUUAAAUGAAGUAAAGUGCAAGAAACAUUUAUCAUUUUACAUUUCUAGUUGAAAUUCAAGAUAUAUUUAUUCUAAUUCUGAUAUACUUUUCUUCCAUUUGAUGUUCUUACCUACCAGAAGGAUCACAAUGAUAACUAGUUUACUUGUUGGAAAUGGCAAACUGAACUAUGGAGUGAGUGACUUCAAGGAAAAAUGUUGUAGAAGAUCUUCAUGGAUCACCAGCAUGACUUUUAGCAUAUGCAUACAGAAAGAAAUUUCAUGAUAUGCUAAGGAUCUUAGUACUAAAAACAAUUUACAUGUACUAAAUCUUACUAGCUAGGGGUAUGUUAUAGCUUAAAUCUUAAGCUGGAUAUGUAUUUAGUUUAUCCACUUAAUUAUGCUAUAUAACAACUAUGCAAUGUUCUAUA